Long non-coding RNA from Canis lupus familiaris (dog), 2825 nucleotides. RefSeq lists it as uncharacterized. The transcript has 3 exons. Lineage: Eukaryota; Metazoa; Chordata; Mammalia; Carnivora; Canidae. The record is from RefSeq and is a predicted model, not a curated record.
CGGAAAACUGAGAUCCCAGAGGAAGCCAGUGUCUGAAAAGGAUCGAAACUCAGGAAUCCCUGGCUCCAGCUGGACACGUCGGCUGCCUCUGGCUGAAGUUAGGGCAGGGAGUGUGAGGGGGCUCUCCAGACCCCUGCCUCCCCGGGAGGCACCCCUGAGAGCUGGGGGGACAGGCAGGGAGAAACCUGCAAUGGGGACGGUUACGCUCCAGUGACAGCGGGAGGAGUGUCGGCUAGACCCAGAGAAGAACCUUAGCCCUUGUGGCUGAGACCCACUUAAUUUUCCUGGAUCCCCCGAUUCCCCUCUGCCUUAUUACAGUCAGGUGCUCCCAAGUGUCCUCCUUCCUUAUCUGGCCCAGAUUGGUCAACUGGGGUCUCCCGGGAAGUCCUGCUGGACAUCUCUUGGAGGACCUGCCUCCCAGGGCAGCGACUCAUCUUUCCCCACAUACUCUCCUCCUCCCAGGGUCCCCAUCUAGUAAACAACCUUCAUGACCCAUUCUGUGGCUUAAGCCACAGACUAGCACACAUCCCCCUACCCCACACCCCAAUCCCUCCACCUUCUGCCCCCUCCUCCCCUGCUUCAUCUUCCUUGUGGUGGGCUCCUGUGUUGUUUGCCCCUCUGACCGUGCCUUCAGGGGACGUGGCCCAGAACUUUCCAUUAUUAGGUGUGCUGCUGGCUCCUACCAUCUCCAUCUCCAGCUGCCUCACCUCCCCAACCCUACCCGUGGCCCCCUCUAGACUUUCCUGACUGCGCUUUUGAGGAGUUCUUUUCGAUACUUGGAAUUCCCUUCCCUAGAGUCCGCAGAUCCCUUCAGGAAGCCUUCAGCUAGAAGUGAUGCCAUCUUCCUAUGCAGCCCCCAGCUACCAACUGGGGCUCAAAGGGGUCACUGAGCACUUUUGUCCCUACUAUACAGGUGUCUGAUACCAUGCCUACGUUCCUGCUAGUCUGGCACUCAGGAAAUCCCUGCAGGAUGGAGCUGGUCCAAAUCCUCCCUGAGCCACCCUGAGCAGGCACCAUGGCUUGUGACCUGCAUAGAACUGCAGUCUCCUUCCUGGGGUCGGGGUCCCACUGCCUGGGGCCGGUUGGGAAUGGAACAUCAGGAAGCUGGCCAGCAAUUCUAUUCUACUUUAUUCACACUCCAGCCCCACCCCGUACGCAAAAGUCCGUUCAUCCCGGCCAAAAACCAAGACCAGAUUGUCGAUAACCACUACUGACUCUCAACUGCGAAACCAGCUUGUGAAUUUUCAGAAUUGAAAAAUUGGCCGGAAAUUUGAACAGAAUUCCAUUGAAUAGAUUUGGAGGAAUUACCAUCUUAAUAACUUUCAAUCAUGAAUACACUAUGUCCAUCCAUUUAUCUAAUCUUUUAUUUUUAUCUCUAGUGUUUUAUAGUUUUGAUUGCUAUGUUUAUUAUAAUUCAGAUCAUAACAUUUUAAAGUUUCCAGUGUGCUUUCUUCUGUGAAUUAUGAAUUAUUUAGAAAUACAUUACUUAAUUUAUAAAUAUCUGGGGAUUUUUAGGUUAACUUUGAUUUUUAGUUUGGUUAUUCUUUGAUCAGAGAAUGUAUUCUCAGUGAGUUCAAUCCAAUGAAAUUUGCUGAAGCUUCCUUUAGGCUCAGGAUGUGGUCUAUCUUGGUAAACAGCCCAUAAUUACUUGGAAAUAAUGUUUGAAAAGGUUGUUUAGUGUAGCAUGGCACCUAAAUUAAGUUGAUUAAUUAUGUUAUGCAGAGCUCCUGUAUCUUUAACUUUUUGGGUUUUGCCCUGUUCAGUCAGUUACUGAAAGAGAUAUGUUAAAAUUCUAUCUGCAAUUUGGAUUUGUAAAUUUUCUCUUUAGUUUUGUUAAUUUUUGCUUUAUGUAAUUUAAAUAUACAUUAUCAUGUAUUUAUGUAUUUAUUUUUCUAUGAGUUAAUGAAGUGCUUUUUUCCUUUUUAAUAGAUUAAUCAAGUAUUAUAAUUACGUUUUUUCUUCUAUUAAUGUGGAAGGUUGCAAAGAUAGCCACCUUUAUUUCAUUCUGUAUUCAUGCCCUUUACAAUGUGAUUGGCAACUCUUCCUUUCAUGUAUUCUGGAGGAAUAUUUUUGGGGGCAUGUGAAUUUAAGGUUGUUAUAACUUCCUGUUAAAUUGACCUUUUUAGCUGUAUGUAAUACUUGCGUUUUUUGUUUUGUUUUGUUUUUAAGUAAGCUGCAUGCCAAACAUGGGGCUUGAACUCACAACCCUGAGAUUAAAAGUCACAUGCUCUACCAACUGAGCCAGCCAGGUGCCCCUGUAUGUAAUACUUAUAACUUUUAUCUCUUGUAAUACAUCUUAACAUAAAGUCUAUUUGGUCUGACAUUAUUAUAGCCACACCAACUUUUUCUGUUGGCUAGUAGGUGAGUAGGUGUUGGUCUAUCUCUUAUCCAUUUUCUUCCAACUUACAAUCAAUUCUCUACUUCAACAUAUGCAUUGCUAAAAGUCACCAGACUACACAAAUCUCACAACAAAAACCACAAUGUAGAGGGGAAAUGAGACCAGGGGCAUAAUACUCAAAAACUUCAGCCAGACACAAUAAAAAAAGAAAAGGAGAUAGGAAUCUAGUAAAAAAUGGUAUCAGAGGUUCUACUUUUGGCAUAGCAACAUAAGGAGUCUGUAGACACUGGUGAAAAUUAUUGUAAAAUAAUAAUUAGGUCAAUAAAUAAAAAAAGACAAAAUCAGACAGGGAGACAAAUCUUAAGAGACUCUUAAUCAUAAGGAACAAACUGAGAGUCACUAGAGGGAAGGGGUAUGGGGAGAUAGGAUAACUGGGUGAUGGACAUUAAGGAGGGCAUGGGAUGUAAUGAGCACUGGGUAUUAUAUG